Molecule: long non-coding RNA, 494 nt
Organism: Harpia harpyja (harpy eagle)
Lineage: Eukaryota; Metazoa; Chordata; Aves; Accipitriformes; Accipitridae
Exons: 2
Source: RefSeq, a predicted model, not a curated record
GGGGGGAGGCGGCGGCGGCGGCGGCGGCACUGGGUCGGGCCGGGCCGGGCCGGGCCGCAGCGGGGCGGUGGCCCCGGGCCGGGCCGCGCCGGGCAGGUGCUGCGCCACUGCCUCGCUCCUGGCUAACCAGCACCAGUUCUUCAGUGGCAAGCUUUAUGUCCUUCUCUAGUAGCUAAAGCUGCCAGUUGAAGAACUGUUGAAUGUAGCCACUCUCGUCUCGUCACCGGGACCCUGGCUGUCAGCCGAACCUGUGCCCUGAGCGACUGGGAUGAGCCGGUCCGCAGCGUCCUGUGGAUUUGAGGGCUGAGGAUGAGCCUGACCAGGAUGAAGAAGUCUCCUCGCAGCCUCCAGACGGAGCCUUGGCUGGGGGAUUGCCGGGCAGCCCUGCCAGCGGGGCUGUCAAGUGGAGUCCCCCACACUGGUGGGGUGGCACUGAGCUGAGAGAUGACUAGAGAAGACCAAAAGAGGCAUUAAACUUUCUGUUUUGCUCAAUA